Molecule: ribosomal RNA, 198 nt
Filed under: uncultured bacterium
Lineage: Bacteria
Description: partial 16S ribosomal RNA
Rfam family: Bacterial small subunit ribosomal RNA
Source: RNAcentral
GUCUGCAACUCGACUACAUGAAGCUGGAAUCGCUAGUAAUCGCGGAUCAGAAUGCCGCGGUGAAUACGUUCCCGGGUCUUGUACACACCGCCCGUCACACCAUGGGAGUCGGGAAUGCCCGAAGCCAGUGACCCAAGCGAGAGCAGGGAACUGUCGAAGGCAGGCCGGAUAACUGGGGUGAAGUCGUAACAAGGUAUC